CAUUAAUAACUUCCUUCUCUGCCCCUGACAUCGUUGUGACAGUGGACUGUGAUACAUUUACACGUUACCUGUUGUCUGCAAGUCAAGGAUUAAAUUAGAUAGGGGAGAUGACUGGAGACACCGCAUCACACGUACUUAUGUAUUAGACUGCAGUUGCCUAACUUAGAUGACAUGAGAUUCUCCACAGUUUGGGAUAUUGGCCCGAUUCCUUGCCUUGUAACAAGCUACAGUGUUAAAAGUUGAUAAAGUUCAGAGGCAUAUUUUGGCUGCCUCGUGUCGCUGUGUGAGGGAUGUCGCUAAAGACCGAAGCCCCAAAGAGUUUUUUUUUUUUUAAAUGUUGUACAUGUAUAACAGGAAAUAAAAGAAAAAAAAAAGAUUAAACACAACCAGACAUUUUGUUCUCUUGUUCUUAUAAUCUGAUCCUUUUUUUCAGCGCUUAUCUUUCAUUGAAUCAUAAAGAAGUCUAAAAGAGCAAAGAUUUAUUUUUUGUUUUCUGUUUUCAGGUGGACUGAUAGAGAAGUGUAAACCGAGAAAAGGGAAUCGUAAAUUUAUCGACAAGAACAAAGUAGUCUAGAAACAAGUAGACACGUCAGUACUGAGAGCAACAGACCGUGAAAUAUGAAAGAGCACGAGACAGUCUCCAAGAUUGUUCUACUGGAAAUCGAUUUAGAAAAUCCAUAUCUUAAAUUGAAGUCGUCAAACUUGUUGGGUUGAUCCUGAUUGGAUGGAGAUGUUCUGUUUAUUUAAUUUUUUUUUUCUUAAAUUUAAGCGUCACCCUACUAAGAAGAUGGAGCGUAUGAUUAGUUUUCAAGCACGGAGAGCAGUAAUACCAUCCUAAGAAUCAGCAAGAUAUUUUAUUUAGAAAUAUGUUUUGUUUUAUAAAUUCUACUUUCCAAAAUAAACAGAUUCGAAUGUUACUUUUUUUUAUGUUGAAUAAAGUUAUUUAUAUUUAAA
This is a long non-coding RNA of Biomphalaria glabrata, 954 nucleotides long. RefSeq lists it as uncharacterized. NCBI's taxonomy places the organism in Eukaryota, Metazoa, Mollusca, Gastropoda, Planorbidae. The record is from RefSeq and is a predicted model, not a curated record. The transcript is spliced from 3 exons.